RNAcentral lists this ribosomal RNA (497 nucleotides) under uncultured bacterium. Its description in RNAcentral is "partial 16S ribosomal RNA". It matches the Rfam family "Bacterial small subunit ribosomal RNA", at positions 28 to 507 of the family's 1533-position model. The record is from RNAcentral.
GAUGAACGCUGGCGGCGUGCCUAAUACAUGCAAGUCGAGCGAACGGACGAGAAGCUUGCUUCUCUGAUGUUAUCGGCGGACGGGUGAGUAACACGUGGAUAACCUACCUAUAAGACUGGGAUAACUUCGGGAAACCGGAGCUAAUACCGGAUAAUAUUUUGAACCGCAUGGUUCAAAAGUGAAAGACGGUCUUGCUGUCACUUAUAGAUGGAUCCGCGCUGCAUUAGCUAGUUGGUAAGGUAACGGCUUACCAAGGCAACGAUCCAUAGCCGACCUGAGAGGGUGAUCGGCCACACUGGAACUGAGACACGGUCCAGACUCCUACGGGAGGCAGCAGUAGGGAAUCUUCCGCAAUGGGCGAAAGCCUGACGGAGCAACGCCGCGUGAGUGAUGAAGGUCUUCGGAUCGUAAAACUCUGUUAUUAGGGAAGAACAUAUGUGUAAGUAACUGUGCACAUCUUGACGGUACCUAAUCAGAAAGCCACGGCUAACUACGUG